RNAcentral lists this ribosomal RNA (355 nucleotides) under uncultured Desulfobulbus sp. RNAcentral describes it as "bacterial SSU rRNA". It matches the Rfam family "Bacterial small subunit ribosomal RNA", at positions 1028 to 1382 of the family's 1533-position model. The record is from RNAcentral. Lineage: Bacteria; Pseudomonadati; Thermodesulfobacteriota; Desulfobulbia; Desulfobulbales; Desulfobulbaceae.
CUGGAGACAGGUGGCUGCAUGGCUGUCGUCAGCUCGUGUCGUGAGAUGUUGGGUUAAGUCCCGCAACGAGCGCAACCCUUGCCUUUAGUUGCCAGCAGUUCGGCUGGGCACUCUAAAGGGACUGCCGGUGUUAAACCGGAGGAAGGUGGGGAUGACGUCAAGUCCUCAUGGCCUUUAUGACCAGGGCUACACACGUACUACAAUGGCCGAUACAAAGGGCAGCGACACUGCGAGGUGAAGCCAAUCCCGUAAAAUCGGUCUCAGUCCGGAUUGGAGUCUGCAACUCGACUCCAUGAAGUUGGAAUCGCUAGUAAUCGUGGAUCAGCAUGCCACGGUGAAUACGUUCCCGGGCCUU